CCUACGUGAGGCAGCAGUAGGGAAUCUUCCACAAUGGGCGAAAGCCUGAUGGAGCAACGCCGCGUGGGUGAAGAAGGUCUUCGGAUCGUAAAACCCUGUUGUUAGAGAAGAAAGUGCGUGAGAGUAACUGUUCACGUUUCGACGGUAUCUAACCAGAAAGCCACGGCUAACUACGUGCCAGCAGCCGCGGUAAUACGUAGGUGGCAAGCGUUAUCCGGAUUUAUUGGGCGUAAAGGGAACGCAGGCGGUCUUUUAAGUCUGAUGUGAAAGCCUUCGGCUUAACCGGAGUAGUGCAUUGGAAACUGGGAGACUUGAGUGCAGAAGAGGAGAGUGGAACUCCAUGUGUAGCGGUGAAAUGCGUAGAUAUAUGGAAGAACACCAGUGGCGAAAGCGGCUCUCUGGACUGUAACUGACGCUGAGGUUCGAAAGCGUGGGUAGCAAACAGGAUUAGAUACCCGGGUAGUC
Molecule: ribosomal RNA, 465 nt
Filed under: uncultured bacterium
Lineage: Bacteria
Description: partial 16S ribosomal RNA
Rfam family: Bacterial small subunit ribosomal RNA
Source: RNAcentral